GACGAACGCUGGCGGCGUGCUUAACACAUGCAAGUCGAACGGAAAGGCCUGCUUUCCCUUGUGGAUUGCGGGUACUCGAGUGGCGAACGGGUGAGUAACACGUGAGUGAUCUGCCCCCAACUUGGGUAUAAGCCUGGGAAACUGGGUCUAAUUCCCGAUAGGACUGCAGGGUGGUGCCUGUGGUGGAAAACGAUUUUCUAGUGGUUGGGGAUGAGCUCGCGGCCUAUCAGCUUGUUGGUGGGGUAAUGGCCUACCAAGGCGGCGACGGGUAGCCGGCCUGAGAGGGUGGACGGCCACAUUGGGACUGAGCUACGGCCCAGACUCCGACGGGAGGCAGCAGUGGGGAAUAUUGCAAGAUGGGCGGAAGCCUGAUGCAGCGACGCAGCGUGGGGGAUGACGGCCUUCGGGUUGUAAACUCCUUUCGACCGCGAGGAAGCCACCUGGUUGGAAGGGUGGUGACGGUAGUGGGAGAAGAAGCACCGGCUAACUACGUG
This 494-nucleotide ribosomal RNA is filed under the name uncultured bacterium. RNAcentral's name for it is "partial 16S ribosomal RNA". It matches the Rfam family "Bacterial small subunit ribosomal RNA", at positions 28 to 507 of the family's 1533-position model. The record is from RNAcentral.